GGAGCCGUGGUGUAGCCUGGCCUAACACAUCAGACUGUCACUCUGAAGAUCGCGGGUUCAAAUCCCGUCGGCUCCGCCA
This 79-nucleotide transfer RNA is filed under the name bacterium ADurb.Bin429. RNAcentral's name for it is "tRNA-Asp". It matches the Rfam family "tRNA". From Rfam's summary of the family: Transfer RNA (tRNA) molecules are approximately 80 nucleotides in length. Their secondary structure includes four short double-helical elements and three loops (D, anti-codon, and T loops). The record is from RNAcentral.